GACGAACGCUGGCGGCGUGCUUAACACAUGCAAGUCGAACGGAAAGGCCCUGCUUGCAGGGUACUCGAGUGGCGAACGGGUGAGUAACACGUGGGUGUUCUGCCCUGCACUUCGUGAUAAGCCUUGGAAACUGGGUCUAAUACCGGAUAGGAGCCCUUUUUAUUGUGAUGGUUGGAAAGUUUUUUCGGUUUGGGAUGAGCUCACGGCCUAUCUGUUUGUUGGUGGGGUAAUGGCCUACCAAGGGGGCGACGGGUAGCCGGCCUGGGAGGGUGGCCGGCCCAAUGGGACCUGGGUUAGGCCCAGACUCCCAAGGGGGGCAGGAGGGGGGAAAAUUGCACAAAUGGGGCGAGCCUUAUGCAGCGACGCCGGGUGGGGGAAUACGGCCUUCGGGUUGGAAACUCCGUUCGCUAGGGAAGAAGCUUUUAGUGACGGUACCUAGAUAAGAAGCACCGGCUAACUACGUG
Molecule: ribosomal RNA, 464 nt
Filed under: uncultured bacterium
Lineage: Bacteria
Description: partial 16S ribosomal RNA
Rfam family: Bacterial small subunit ribosomal RNA
Source: RNAcentral